ACAGACUUAAGUUAAGUGGAAACUAUUGGUCUUCAAAACCGAAAAUUUUUAGAUCUGUG
RNAcentral lists this transfer RNA (59 nucleotides) under Toxocara apodemi. Its description in RNAcentral is "tRNA-Trp". The record is from RNAcentral. Lineage: Eukaryota; Metazoa; Nematoda; Chromadorea; Rhabditida; Toxocaridae.